RNAcentral lists this long non-coding RNA (204 nucleotides) under Elaeis guineensis (African oil palm). Its description in RNAcentral is "long non-coding RNA (EGUI_LNC080658)". The record is from RNAcentral. Lineage: Eukaryota; Viridiplantae; Streptophyta; Magnoliopsida; Arecales; Arecaceae.
UUCUUCUGCCUCAGCCCCCCAGGAGCCCCAUCCUGUAGACGAACCCACUCCUGGGAUCGGGCUUCGCCCGAUUUUUGCACCGGGUGCUGUUCCCUGCUCCCUGACUCCGGAUGAACUCCUACUGAUAAGGGUUCAAUAUGGAGUUCCUUUGGAGUACGACCUGGAACUCCCUGACCCCUCCGACCGGGCCAGCACUCCCCCAUC